RNAcentral lists this long non-coding RNA (4454 nucleotides) under Triticum aestivum (bread wheat). RNAcentral's name for it is "long non-coding RNA (TAES_LNC018193)". The record is from RNAcentral. Lineage: Eukaryota; Viridiplantae; Streptophyta; Magnoliopsida; Poales; Poaceae.
UUUUUUUAUUUGUUUGCUGCAUCUCAUCAUGGCAUCAUCCGCAUUGCAUCGGCACUCGUUGCCGUCAUUGUUUUUAAAAACUUGCAUCCGCUCGUAGUUGCCGCGUUUCCCCCUUGCUUUCGCUGACCGUUUCGAGACCAACCUUGUUCUUCGUUUUCCCUCUUGCUUAAAUCAGAGUCCCUCUUUGCACAGUGCAUCGGCCCCUCGCCCGUGUCCGAAACUUUCCCGAACCCGAACCGGACUACCGUUACCGUUGGGUCCGGAUCAUCCCCAAACAUCUACAAAACAUCACCGUUUUCUUUGUUGAACUUUCCUAGCCUAUUUUUCUCGAUCGUCCGAUUUAAAUCAGAGGGCCCAAAUAGCCUCUAAUCUAAUCCCAUGAGAUAUAUAUUAGUCCAACCCUAGAAAUUAGGAGCCUUGUCCCAUCCGGCCGCCGCCAGCAUCUCCCACCUCGGGAUCCCUCCAGAUCCACCCUCUCUCCUUCCCUCGUUUUCCCCACUGGAUCAAUCCAUCUCCCACCUCGACUCCGAGUGCCCCUGCAGCCUCCCGCGUCUGAUCUAGGGAGAGCAGCACCCUCCCGAGCUCCUCCAUGCCGUGCCCCUUCUCCAAGUCCUGCGCCUCUCCUCUAGCUCCCUGCCGUCGUCCCCGGCGAGCAGUUCUGCUAGCAGCCACCAGCAGGACAGCCACGCUCGCGCCUCUCCUUCCUUUCCCUUUCUUCUCCUGUUGCCUUUCCCUCUCAUGCUCUCUCUCCCAGGUACGCCCGUGCAGGAGCCGCAAGGAGGAAGCCGCCAUCACCAAGCUCUUGCCGUGCGCGCCUGGAUCCGCCAUCCCCGGCUCCUCCGCGCUCGAUUCCCGUCGCUGCGCCAAGUCCCUCGUCCCGCUCGUCUCCGACACCAGCGCCGUCCGCCCCGGCAACCUCGACGUCGAGCUCCAGUAGGAACUGCUUCGCGCGCCCCUGUCCCCGCAAGCGUUUGAGGCUGCGCCCAACUCCUCGUCCAGCCCCUCCCCGUCACCUGCAUCUCCUCCGGCAGCGCCGCCGUGCCCGCACGCCUAUGGUGAAGCUUCGGUGAGCCAAGCCACGCCCGUGCCCCUGUUUCUUCCUUCCCUUUCACCUUCUAUCUCUCCCUCACAUCUCUCUCUCUCUCUCUGUCUGCUCGUACAGGGAGCUCCGACGCCCUGGAGACCGAUGCCCCCGCCGGACCUCCUUCCUCCGCAUCCGGCCACGCCGGCGGCAAGCCCUGCCUCCGCCGCCUCGCCAAGUUUCGCCGCCUGAACCUCCCUGCAUCGCCAUGGCCGCCGGCCUCUGUUUUCCCCGCUGUGAGCAACUUCCUCCAUGAACGAAGCUUCGAUCCUUUCCUAGAUCCGUUCUGGCAUGUAGAGGUUAUUUAGAAAUGCCACUAUGUUCCACCGCAAGCAUAUCAGCUAGCCCAGUGGCUAGCGUGGCCUCUAUCCAUUCGAGGGGUCUGGGGUUCGAGUCCCAGCCGCCCCCUUUUAUUUUGCUUAGUUUUUCCUGUUAUUUUGCACUCCCACUUCUGCUUCGGGCCAGAUCUGCUGCUGGGCUUGCACAGUGCGUUGCACUCGGCCCGUUGCUAUUUUUUUUGGCGUGCUGCGAAUUUCAUAUUAUCCAGAGAGUGCGGUUUUGCAGAAAACCCCUCAUACAUCAUGCAUAUAAUAACUUCACAGCCGUGCAUCGGAUUAAAAUAAUUUAUAUAUGUAAAAUGUCUAGAAUUUCUUCUAGUUUCAUAAUAUGCUGCUCUCAUCCAUGUUUAAAAUGUUUAAACUUGUUGUUUAUUUAAUUUGCUUAAAUGCCAUGUUAAAAUGAUUUAUUUCAUAACUAAUUAACCGUAACUCGGAUUUAAAUAAACUUUAUAUGCAAAUGGGGUAGAAAAAUGCCUAGUUUAACAUGGUACACUUUAUUUUGCUUAGUUUUUCCUGUUAUUUUGCACUCCCACUUCUGCUUCGGGCCAGAUCUGCUGCUGGGCUUGCACAGUGCGUUGCACUCGGCCCGUUGCUAUUUUUUUUGGCGUGCUGCGAAUUUCAUAUUAUCCAGAGAGUGCGGUUUUGCAGAAAACCCCUCAUACAUCAUGCAUAUAAUAACUUCACAGCCGUGCAUCGGAUUAAAAUAAUUUAUAUAUGUAAAAUGUCUAGAAUUUCUUCUAGUUUCAUAAUAUGCUGCUCUCAUCCAUGUUUAAAAUGUUUAAACUUGUUGUUUAUUUAAUUUGCUUAAAUGCCAUGUUAAAAUGAUUUAUUUCAUAACUAAUUAACCGUAACUCGGAUUUAAAUAAACUUUAUAUGCAAAUGGGGUAGAAAAAUGCCUAGUUUAACAUGGUACACUUUAUUUUGCUGUUUAACAACAUUAAAAUUGUGUUUAGGGCAGAACAGUACCAAAUCAAAAUAUGCACAUGAGGAUUUUAUGGAAUUGUUGUUUGUUAUUUCCGGCCUUAUUUAAACUUGCCUAAAUAGUUAGCUUACUUAUGCUUCACCAUAUUGCCAUGUUAAUCAACAUUUAAUAUUGUUGGGUGCAUAACCGAGAGAGCUAAACAAUGGAUAUGGUGUUUCGUCAAUAUGCAACUCGUUGCAUAUUGAGCUCCACUUAACUUGUAGUUUUAUUUGUGCACUUUGCCAUGCCAUGCCUCAUUAAACCGGACAUGCAUCAUACUUGAUUGUGCUUCAUGCCAUGUUUAUGUGGUGGUUGUUUACUAUGUUGUUUGUUUCUUUCCGGGUUGCUUCUCUCGUUAGCUUUGGUUUCUUUCCGGAGUUGUGAGGAUUCGUUCGACUCCGUCCGUUUGUCUUCUUCAUGGACUCGUUCUUCUUCCUAGCGGGAUCGCAGGCAAGAUGACCAUACCCUCGAAAUCACUUCUAUCUUUGCUUGCUAGUUGUUCGCUCUAUUGCUAUGCCGCGCUACCUACCACUUGUUAUAUCAUGCCUCCCAUAUUGCCAUGUCAAACCUCUAAUCCACUCUUCCUAGCAAACCGUUGUUUGGCUAUGUUACUGCUUUUACUCAGCCCCUCUUAUAGCGUUGUUAGGUGCAGCUGAAGAUGAAGAUUGCUCCAUGUUGGAUUAUGUUUAUGUUGGGAUAUCACAAUACCUCUUAUUUAAUUAAUGCAUCUAUAUACUUGGUAAAGGGUGGAAGGCUCGGCCUUAUGCCUGGUGUUUUGUUCCACUCUUGCCGCCCCUAGUUUCCGUCAUACCGGUGUUAUGUUCCUUGAUUUUGCGUUCCUUACGUGGUUGGGUGAUUUAUGGGACCCCCUUGACAGUUUGUUUUGAAUAAAACUCCUCCAGCAAGGCCCAACCUUGGUUUUACCAUUUGCUACCACCUAUCCCCUUUUCCCUUGGGUUCUGCAGACUCAAGGGUCAUCUUAUUUUAAACCCCCCCCAGGCCAGUGCUCCUUCGAGUGUUGGUCCGAACUGAGUAGACUGCGGGGCCCCCUCGUGGAAACUCGAGGUCUGGUUUUACUCGUAGGAUGUCUCAUCCGGUGUUGCCCUGAGAACGAGAUAUGUGCAGCUCCUAUCGGGAUUUGUCGGCCAUCGAGCGGCUUUGCUGGUCUUGUUUUACCAUUGUCGAAAUGUCUUGUAAACCGGGAUUCCGAGACUGAUCGGGUCUUCCCGGGAGAAGUUUUAUCCUUCGUUGACCGUGAGAGCUUAUAAUGGGCUAAGUUGGGACACCCCUGCAGAGUAUUAUCUUUCGGAAGCCGUGCCCGCGGUUAUGUGGCAGAUGGGAAUUUGUUAACGUCCAGUUGUAGAGAACUUGACACUUGACUUAAUUAAAAUACAUCAACCGCGUGUGUAGCCGUGAUGGUCUCUUCUCGGUGGAGUCCGGGAAGUGAACACGGUUUCUGGGUUAUGUUUGACGUAAGUAGGAGUUCAGGAUCACUUCUUGAUCAUUGCUAGUUCACGACCGUUGCGUUGCUUCUCUUCACGCUCUUAUUUGCGUAUGUUAGCCACCAUAUAUGCUUAGUGCCUGCUGCAGCUCCACCUCAUUACACCAUCCUUCCUAUAAGCUUAAAUAGUCUUGAUCUCGCGGGUGUGAGAUUGCUGAGUCCUCGUGACUCACAGAUACUUUCAAAACAGUUGCAGGUGCCGAUGAUACCAGUGCAGGUGACGCAACCGAGCUCAAGUGGGAGCUCGAUGAAGAUCUUGUUCGUUGUGUUGUUUGUUUUCAUGUUGAUCAGUAGUGGAACCCAGUUGGGACGAUCGGGGAUCUAGCAGUUGGGUUAUCUUCUUUUCUUUUGGUUUUGACCGUAGUCGGUCUAUGUGUGUACUCGGAAUGAUGUAUGUUUUAUUUAUGUAUUGUGUGAAGUGGCGAUUGUAAGCCAACUCUUUAUCCCGUUCUUGUUCAUUACAUGGGAUUGUGUGAAGAUGACCCUUCUUGCGACAAAACCACAAUGCGGUUAUGCCUCUAAGUCGUGCCUCGACACGUGGGAGAUAUAGCCGCAUCGUGGGCGUUACAGAUA